GCCCCCUUGUACACUUUUGCCAAUUCGACUUGAAUGUCUGUUGACGCUGGGGAGUUGGUCAUUCAAGUGCGCAAAGGAAGACCUAUCCUUUUAAAACUCAGGCAAACUGGUGUUUGUCUUGUAUCCUGUCAAAGGAAACAAAU
RNAcentral lists this small nucleolar RNA (143 nucleotides) under Microcebus murinus (gray mouse lemur). RNAcentral describes it as "Small nucleolar RNA SNORA27 (ENSMICG00000036340.2)". It matches the Rfam family "Small nucleolar RNA SNORA27". From Rfam's summary of the family: ACA27 is a member of the H/ACA class of snoRNA that guide the sites of modification of uridines to pseudouridines. The record is from Rfam by way of RNAcentral. Lineage: Eukaryota; Metazoa; Chordata; Mammalia; Primates; Cheirogaleidae.